This 4404-nucleotide small RNA is filed under the name Pan troglodytes (chimpanzee). RNAcentral describes it as "processed transcript". Lineage: Eukaryota; Metazoa; Chordata; Mammalia; Primates; Hominidae. The record is from RNAcentral.
GCGGGAAGGGAAGGGUGCGGCGCCUGGCCGCAGACAGACAAGGGGGCGCCGGCUCUUCAGAACCCCAGGGAGAAAGCGGUGGAGGGCUAGAGUUGAGGAGAUUAAGGACAUUUGAGGAGGGCAGGCAUUACCAAGUUAAAACCUCCUGGAAGACAACUCCAUUGGGCGACCCGUCUGCGCCGCACAGCCUGACGGGAGCGUCGUCCUUCCUGCGCAGGCUGCAACCGACAGACGGGCUCGGCUCCGCCUCCAGCCGCGGGGCACGCGGGGAGAGCCGAGCGUUUCUCCCUCCCUCCGCUAACCCGGACAGCAAAAGAGCAUUUCCGGCGUAAGACUGUCCCUACGGAAGGGGUGGGGCUAGUUUGGCCCCGUCUUUCACGCCCAGAGGGGGCGGGGUGAACCGUGACAGCGCUUCGGCCCGCACUAAGGCCGGCUCUUGUGCCGGAAGGAGGAAGGCGUGGGGCAUUCGCCUCUCGGAGCUAGGGAGUGUGUGCGACGCCGCUGCGAGGUCACGUGAGCCACUGCCGGCAGAGAGGGAAAGGGGCGGGGCCCAGAACGAAGUGGGGAGGCGCCCUUUGUUUCCCUGGGGUCACGCGCAGCCGGAAGUGGCGGCUGCUGCGGAGAAUUGGAGAUGGGGACCGCCCUGGACAUCAAGAUUAAAAGAGCGAAUAAAGUUUAUCACGCCGGGGAAGUGCUCUCUGGCGUGGUGGUCAUAUCGAGUAAGGAUUCAGUCCAACACCAGGGAGUGUCUUUGACCAUGGAAGGAACUGUAAACCUCCAGCUCAGUGCCAAAAGUGUGGGUGUGUUUGAAGCUUUUUAUAAUUCUGUUAAGCCUAUCCAGAUUAUCAACAGCACCAUAGAAAUGGUGAAGCCAGGGAAAUUUCCCAGCGGCAAAACAGAAAUCCCUUUUGAAUUUCCUCUGCACGUGAAGGGUAACAAAGUUCUGUAUGAGACGUAUCAUGGCGUGUUUGUCAACAUUCAGUAUACACUGCGCUGUGACAUGAAGCGGUCUCUGUUGGCCAAGGACUUGACAAAGACCUGUGAAUUUAUCGUUCACUCCGCUAUGAGGAAACUGAGUUUCAGCAAGAUGGGGAAAUUUGACAGAACUGUGUUCAGGACCCAGGCUUGCGCCUCUUAGUUCCCCGUCCUUCCUGCAUCGCCAGGCUGCCGUUGGUUUAUUUUUGAAAGGGAAAAGCUAUUUGACCUGCAGAACUCUUGGCCUUCACCUACUGAUUUCGGUUUCACCUCUCGUUUUAGCCUCAGAAGGGGAAGUUUACUCCCAGUCCCGUGGACUUCACGAUUACACCUGAAACCUUACAGAACGUCAAAGAGCAUUCCCACCUGACAGAGGCCGGGCAGCAACGUGCUUUUCAAAGAUUCCACAGUGCCCUCCGUGGUGGACGCCUCACGGCCAGGGCAGGUACCGUGAGGACACAGACGCCUGGGCAGUGCCAGCCCAGCUCCCCCGCCUCCUGCGUCAGGACAGGGCUGUCUGGCUGUCAGUGGCAGCCGCUGGUGGAGCCUCAGCUGGUCCCUCGAGCUGCACGGUGAACUUGGGCCCGUCCAAAACUCUGCCUGGCCCCGGCCUCCCUGAUCUUGCCCUCUCAUCCACUGCCAUGCAUUUCUCCUAAACAGUGGAGUCCUGUAGUUCUUCCUGGAUGUAACUUUUCAUCCUUCCUCUAAUUCUUUAUUCUGCUGUCUGGACCACACUGACUAGGAUCAAGUGAAGGACAAGCUGGGAGGCCUGGGCCCUGGGAUGUCAUUGGCCUCAUCCCUCAGAGGCUGGACAUGUGUCGUGGGGAGCCUUUCAGACAGGGAAGCCAAAAGAGUGGACACCCCUGCUCUAGACCAUCAUCAGUCCUUCCUGGCCAGUGUCCUGUCUGCAGAGUAAAGAGAGCUUUGCUUCCCAAGUUUCUCCUUCGAGGACAUCUCAACUCAACAAACUGUGUCAUCACACAGCCGCUAACGGGAGAGCUGGUGGUGGAGAGCUCGGAAGCCGCCAUCAGAAGCGUGGAGCUGCAGCUGGUGCGCGUGGAGACAUGCGGGUGUGCAGAAGGCUACGCCCGCGACGCCACGGAGAUUCAGAACAUUCAGAUCGCCGACGGGGAUGUGUGCAGGGGCCUCUCUGUCCCCAUCUACAUGGUCUUCCCUAGGCUGUUCACCUGCCCUACACUGGAGACCACCAACUUCAAAGUGGAAUUUGAGGUUAACAUCGUGGUGCUUCUUCACCCUGACCACCUCAUCACGGAGAACUUCCCGCUGAAGCUCUGCAGGAUAUAGCCCGGAGGAGGGAAGCAUAGAAAACGGGAGUGGCCAUCUGGAAAUCCAGCUGGUUAUCCAAAUCCUAAGGGGAGCUACAGCCAGCGGCAUAUACUUGUUUUUGUGAUUAUUCUGUAUCAGAAAUGAAACAGACCCUCAAAUUAACUUUCCUUCCUCAUUUCUUGAGGCUUCUGCUUCCAACAGGCACUUCUAAUCAGACCUUUUCUUUGAAAUUCAACAAGAUUUCUUAAUGCUAUUUGCCAAGACCAUUUCACAGAAAACAUUGACUGUGGCUCUUGCCUUAUCUGUUCCUUUUUAGGUACAGUAAAACAAUUGUGACAGCAGUUUGAGCUUGCUGGAGAGUGGCAUCACAGGGACAAAAGGAAACCUCUGACUUGCUAAUGGAUGUAGCCAGGGACUCCCCAUAGCAAAGGGUCUGUGGCCAGUUGACAUCCAGGAUGGCUGCAAGCACACUCGAUGGUCAGGAAGUUUGCAGAUACUCGCCAAGGCAGAGCGCAAAGUGCUAGCCACUGGAAAUGCAUGACUUCCCUCCACCCCUACUCUAUUCUGUAGUUUUUUGGUUUUGUUUCUGAGACGGAGUCUCAGUCUGUCAGCCAGGCUGGAGUGAUCUCAGCUCACUGCAACCUCCACCUCCCAGGUUCAAGCGACUCUCCUGCCUCAGCCUCCCGAGUAGUUGGGAUUACAGGUGACUGCCAUCGCGCCUGGCUAAUUUUUGUAUUUUUAGUAGAGACGGGGUUUCACCAUCUUGGCCAGGCUGGUCUUGAACUCUUGACCUCGUGAUCCACCCGCCUUGGCCUCCCAAAGUGCUGGGAUUACAAGUGUGAGCCACCAUACCCAGCCUCUGUAGUUCUUUUUACAACAUUUUUCAUUAUAACUUUAAAUUUUUUAAGCAACUGGAAAAGUGUUCCUUGCUCUCAUGGGGGGAUUUGGCUGGUGCUGAAGUGUUUCUGAAGUCUCAAGAACUGCCAUAAAAUCUCACGCUGCCAUUUCCCUGAACAGAUACAUACAUAGAGAGAGACAGUUUUCCAAACUGUGUCACGCAGGCUGAGCGCACUGGCAGGAUCACAGCUCACGGCAGCCUCAACCUCCCUGGCUCAAGCGAUCCCUCCCCUUAGCCUCCUGAGUAGCUGAGACUACAGGUGAGUGCCACCACACUCAGCUAAUUUUUAAAUUUUUUGUAGACAGGGUCUCCCUAUGUUGCCCAGGCUGGUCUUGAACUCCUAGACUCAAGUGAUCUUCCUGUCUUGGCCUCCCAAAGUGCUGAGAUUACAGGUGUGAGCCACUGUGCCCAGCAGUUUCCCAGAAUAUAUUUAAAUGCAAAGUUACAUGAGGGGAAAACAUGUAUGUUUGCUCCUGUUGUUACUGGGUAGGUUCUGAACAGCAGAAACCCAUGUGCAGGGUGGGCUGGUGAAGGCCCCUCUCCGCAAGGUGGUAGCAGGAAAAGGUCCUUGACUUGAUGAAUUUGGUCUGCCUCUGAGCCACUGGAGGAAGCUGUUUUGAGCCAGGGAUUUUUGGCCUAAAGCCAGCAUUUCCUCAGUCUCCCUUUGUGGUUCGAAGGAUAUGGACUAUUGCAAUACAUUUCUUCCUUCAAAUCCUGCCACUGUUUUGUUGGCCCACAACUAAUAGGACCUCAAAAUAAGCCAUGCUGCUUUGCACACACACUAGCCUUCUUUUGUACUUUUCAUUCUGGAUGGGCUUGGCCAAAACAGGCUCAGGCCAAAGACCUCCCAAGCUGUAUGUACUUCCAGUAUCCUGAAACAGUGUUUGGUGACGUAAUGCCAAGGGUAAACAAGCCUGAUUUAGGCACUGCUUUAUCCAGGGGCUUCACCCAUGAAAUUAAUAAAACUUAUCUGAGUCACUUGAAACUUGGUUCCCAGAAAAUACAUUUCUGGUUUAUAAUCUCCUUUUAUGCUCACCUGACAUUAAUUAUCUAUCCUUGAUGAUGUGUUUAAACUGAGUAGCAGAAAACAGAGGCCACACUUUCUGGGAAAUUUUAAAGGAAGAAACCAUUUUUAAUGAGAUGAAAAUAUUUAACGAAUUUAAAAAGCUAAUGACAAUUUUGAGAAAAGGUUUGGGAUGUAUAUUGCUAUGUAAUUUAAUAAACUGAUUUUAUGGAUAUAAAUA